UAGACACCAAAGCAGACCAUGUUAAUCACCCCUAAACAAAGGACUAAACAAUAUUGAAACCUGCCCUAAUGUCUUCGGUUGGGGCGACCACGGAGAAAUAAAAAACCCCCGCGUGGAACAGGGAUACUAUCCCCACAAUCACGAGCUCCCGCUCUACUAAACAGAACCUCUGACCAAUCAGAUCCGGCAAUGCCGAUCAACGGACCAAGUUACCCUAGGGAUAACAGCGCAAUCCCCUUUUAGAGCCCAUAUCGACAAGGGGGUUUACGACCUCGAUGUUGGAUCAGGACAUCCUAAUGGUGCAGCCGCUAUUAAG
Molecule: ribosomal RNA, 316 nt
Filed under: Acanthurus xanthopterus (yellowfin surgeonfish)
Lineage: Eukaryota; Metazoa; Chordata; Actinopteri; Acanthuriformes; Acanthuridae
Description: partial large subunit ribosomal RNA
Rfam family: Bacterial large subunit ribosomal RNA
Source: RNAcentral